RNAcentral lists this ribosomal RNA (305 nucleotides) under uncultured bacterium. Its description in RNAcentral is "bacterial SSU rRNA". It matches the Rfam family "Bacterial small subunit ribosomal RNA", at positions 333 to 655 of the family's 1533-position model. The record is from RNAcentral.
GGCUGCCUACGGGGCGCAGCAGUGGGGAAUAUUGCACAAUGGGGGGAACCCUGAUGCAGCGACGCCGCGUGGGUGAAGGAGUACUUCGGUACGUAAAGCUCUAUCAGCAGGGAAGAAAAUGACGGUACCUGACUAAGAAGCCCCGGCUAACUACGUGCCAGCAGCCGCGGUAAUACGUAGGGGGCAAGCGUUAUCCGGAUUUACUGGGUGUAAAGGGAGCGUAGACGGCGCUGCAAGUCCGGAGUGAAAGCCCAUGGCUUAACCAUGGUACUGCUCUGGAAACUGUGGAGCUUGAGUGCGGGAGG